This 255-nucleotide ribosomal RNA is filed under the name Salmonella enterica. Its description in RNAcentral is "partial 23S ribosomal RNA". It matches the Rfam family "Bacterial large subunit ribosomal RNA", at positions 526 to 783 of the family's 2925-position model. RNAcentral also lists the same sequence under 1 other name. The record is from RNAcentral. Lineage: Bacteria; Pseudomonadati; Pseudomonadota; Gammaproteobacteria; Enterobacterales; Enterobacteriaceae.
CCGGCGAGGGGAGUGAAAAAGAACCUGAAACCGUGUACGUACAAGCAGUGGGAGCACCCUUUGGGGUGUGACUGCGUACCUUUUGUAUAAUGGGUCAGCGACUUAUAUUCUGUAGCAAGGUUAACCGUAUAGGGGAGCCGGAGGGAAACCGAGUCUUAACCGGGCGUUAAGUUGCAGGGUAUAGACCCGAAACCCGGUGAUCUAGCCAUGGGCAGGUUGAAGGUUGGGUAACACUAACUGGAGGACCGAACCGAC